GACGAGGGGUCCUAGCGUCGUUCGGAAUCAUUGGGCGUAAAGCGUGUGUAGGCGGUCUUGUAAGUCAGGUGUGAAAGCCCCGGGCUCAACCCGGGAAGUGCAUCUGAUACUGCUUGACUUGAGUACUGGAGAGGAUAGUGGAAUUCCUGGUGUAGUGGUGAAAUACGUAGAUAUCAGGAGGAACACCGGUGGCGAAGGCGGCUAUCUGGCCAUGUACUGACGCUGAGACACGAAAGCGUGGGGAGCAAACAGG
Molecule: ribosomal RNA, 253 nt
Filed under: uncultured bacterium
Lineage: Bacteria
Description: partial 16S ribosomal RNA
Rfam family: Bacterial small subunit ribosomal RNA
Source: RNAcentral